ACGGGCCAGACUCCUACCGGAGGCAGCAGUGGGGAAUUCUUGCACAAUGGGGGAAACCCUGAUGCAGCGACGCCGCGUGAGCGAUGAAGCCCUUCGGGGUGUAAAGCUCUUUCGGCAGGGAAGAUUAUGACGGUACCUGCAGAAGCAGCUGCGGCUAACUACGUGCCAGCAGCCGCGGUAAUACGUAGGCAGCAAGCGUUGUUCGGAGUUACUGGGCGUAAAGGGUGUGUAGGCGGUUGUUUAAGUUUGGUGUGAAAUCUCCCGGCUCAACUGGGAGGGUGCGCCGAAUACUGAAUGACUUCGAGUACGGGAGAGGAAAGUGGAAUUCCUGGUGUAGCGGUGAAAUGCGUAGAUAUCAGGAGGAACACCGGUGGUGUAGACGGCUUUCUGGACCGUAACUGACGCUGAGACACGAAAGCGUGGGUAGCAAACAGGAUUAGAUACCCUGGUAGUCCACGCCCUAAACGAUGCAUAUUUGGUGUGGGCAGUUCAUUCUGUCCGUGCCGGAGCUAACGCGUUAAAUAUGCCGCCUGGGGAGUACAGUCGCAAGGCUGAAACUCAAAGGAAUUGACGGGGGCCCGCACAAGCGGUGGAGCAUGUGGUUCAAUUCGACGCAACGCGAAGAACCUUACCUGGGCUCGAACGGCUGGUCAACGGCGGUGGAAACAUCGCUACCCCGCAAGGGGGUCCAGUCGAGGUGCUGCAUGGCUGUCGUUCAGCU
Molecule: ribosomal RNA, 721 nt
Filed under: uncultured Acidobacteriaceae bacterium
Lineage: Bacteria; Pseudomonadati; Acidobacteriota; Terriglobia; Terriglobales; Acidobacteriaceae
Description: bacterial SSU rRNA
Rfam family: Bacterial small subunit ribosomal RNA
Source: RNAcentral